This 406-nucleotide ribosomal RNA is filed under the name Cylindrotheca closterium. RNAcentral's name for it is "SSU rRNA". It matches the Rfam family "Eukaryotic small subunit ribosomal RNA", at positions 624 to 1026 of the family's 1831-position model. Lineage: Eukaryota; Bacillariophyta; Bacillariophyceae; Bacillariales; Bacillariaceae. The record is from RNAcentral.
UUCAGUAAGCUCGUAGUUGGAUUUGUGGUGUAUGCAGGCGGCCCGGCACAAUGUGCUGGAGCUUGCCUGCGUCGCCAUCCUUGGGUGGAUCCUGUGUGGCAUUAAGUUGUCGUGCAGGGGAUGCCCAUCGUUUACUGUGAAAAAAUUAGAGUGUUCAAAGCAGGCUUACGCCGUUGAAUAUAUUAGCAUGGAAUAAUAAGAUAGGACCUUGGUACUAUUUUGUUGGUUUGCGCACCAAGGUAAUGAUUAAUAGGGACAGUUGGGGGUAUUCGUAUUUCAUUGUCAGAGGUGAAAUUCUUGGAUUUUUGAAAGACGAACUACUGCGAAAGCAUUUACCAAGGAUGUUUUCAUUAAUCAAGAACGAAAGUUAGGGGAUCGAAGAUGAUUAGAUACAAUUCGGUAGUCA